Molecule: ribosomal RNA, 137 nt
Filed under: uncultured eukaryote
Lineage: Eukaryota
Description: partial 18S ribosomal RNA
Rfam family: Eukaryotic small subunit ribosomal RNA
Source: RNAcentral
UGGUGGAGUGAUUUGUCUGGUUAAUUCCGAUAACGAACGAGACCUUAACCUGCUAAAUAGUUACGCAAAGGCGACUUUGUGGUAACUUCUUAGAGGGACAAAGUACGUCUAGUACUUGGAAGUUUGAGGCAAUAACA